This is a small nuclear RNA of Rattus norvegicus (Norway rat), 165 nucleotides long. Ensembl annotates it as U1 spliceosomal RNA. The record is from Ensembl. NCBI's taxonomy places the organism in Eukaryota, Metazoa, Chordata, Mammalia, Rodentia, Muridae.
AUCCUGUAUGAAAGACAUAAGUGAUAUGAUCAUGAAGGUGUUUUUCCUGUGGGUGUGGUUUACUCAUUCACACUGAGUAUGCUGGUCCCAGCAAUUGUCCCAAAUAUAGUAAAGUUAACUGCACACUUUGUGAUUGUGUGGAGACUGUGUUCACCCUCCACUGCU